UGUCUAUUAAUUGUAGACCAGUAUGAAAGGCAACAUGAGAGCCAAACCGUCUCUUACAGCUACUCAAUUAAACUGAUCUUUUAGUCCAAAAGCUAAAAUACCCGUAUAAGACCAGAAGACCCUGUGAAGCUUAAACUAACCCGUUAAACCAAAUAACGGCCACUUUCGGUUGGGGCGACCUUGGAAUAAAAAAGAACUUCCAACACAAUGAGCAUUCCUCAUACCACGGCCAACAAGCCACAAUACGACCCAGUCCACUGACUAAUGAACCAAGUUACUCCAGGGAUAACAGCGCCAUCUUCUUCAAGAGCCCAUAUCAAAAAGAAGGUUUACGACCUCGAUGUUGGAUCAGGACAUCCUAGUGGUGCAGCCGCUACCAAGGGUUCGUUUNUUCAACGAUUAACAGU
RNAcentral lists this ribosomal RNA (407 nucleotides) under Rhinophis drummondhayi. Its description in RNAcentral is "partial 16S ribosomal RNA". It matches the Rfam family "Bacterial large subunit ribosomal RNA", at positions 1970 to 2594 of the family's 2925-position model. Lineage: Eukaryota; Metazoa; Chordata; Lepidosauria; Squamata; Uropeltidae. The record is from RNAcentral.